AAAUCUGUUUGAAAAUAGGGGACCCUUCCUCUAAGGCUAAAUAUGAUAUAUAAGCGAUAGUGAAAAGUACCGUGAGGGAAAGAAAUAAUAGAGUAGUUUUAUAAGCAGCUUAAUUGUUAAGAAUAAUAAAAAAGCGUACCUUUUGUAUAAUGGGUCAGCAAGUUAAUAAUAUAUGCGAGCGAAAUGCGAAGUGAACACAAUUAUCACAUAAAUAAUAAGUAUUUAUUAUUAGACCCGAAGACUAGUGAUAUUACCCCGAUCAGGAAUGAAGUCCGAACGGUUUAUCGUUGUAGAGAUAUCCGAUGAAUUGGGGUAAGUAAGUGAAAGACAAAUCUGACUAGUAUAGCUGGUUUUCUGCGAAACCUAUCUAAGUAGGCGGUUUAAAAAUUAUCAAGGAAGGUACAGCAAUGUAAUCAUAAUAUUCGACUAGAAACUAGUUUUUUAUUAUUGCGGGGGUGUGACAGCCUUACAAUUAUGUAUUUGCUCUCGAAAGGGCUUUGAUAAAAUAUGAACUAUCAGACAUAGUACGAUAAGGUUGUAUGUCAAAAGGGAAACAGCCCAGAACAAAAGUUAAUAAGGUUCCAAAAUUAUUAUUAAGUGAAAUUAAGGUAGUGUUUGUCUUAUUCGGCUAGUAAGUGGGCUUAGAAGCGGCCAUCUUUUAAAGAUCUCGUAAUAGAGCACUAGUUUAUUUUAAACAGAUAGGGGCACCGAAGAUUUAACGGAUCAAAGUAAUAUACCGAAACUUUGUCUGCAUGCAUGCAUGCAGGGUAGCAGAACAUAGGGUGUAUUGUAAAUUAAUAUUUUUUUAAUGUUAAAAGUAAAAAAGAGCUCUAGAGAUAAUGCUGACAUGAGUAACGAAAAAGGAGGGAAUAUACCCACCUCGCCUAAAGCUUAUGGAUUUAAACCGUACCUAAAAACUAACACCAGUAAGCUAGUAGAGAAUACGAAGGCGUUUGAGUGAACAAUUAUUAAGGAACUCGGCAAAUUUACUCCGUAACUUAGGGAGAAGGUGAGCCACCGAAUCUUGGUUAAUAUCAAGUAAAGGGGAGGAGGCACAGAAUAGUGUUGUACGACUGUUUAAUUAAAACAAAGCACUUUGCAAAAAAGUAAAUUUGAAGUAGAGAGUGUGAGUUCUGCCAAAUGUUGGCAGGAUAUAGUAUUUUACCUUACGAAAACCAAUAGUAGAUAGGAAUUGAUAGAUUCCCCAAUUAAUGGCGGCCUUACCGAUGAGGGUCCAAAGGUAGCGGAAUACCCUGGCCGUUAAAUGCGGUCUUGCAUGAAUGAUUUAACGAUACAACAGCUGUCUCGAUAAUUGGCUCAGUGAAAUUGGAAUAACUGUGAAGAUACAGUUUACCUCUAGAUAGACGAGAAGACCCUAUGCAGCUUUACUGCUACUAGUUAUAGGAUGUAAUUGGUGAGGAUUAGUUUAUAAGGUAAUAGAUUAAAUAAUAAUGAAAUCCCUUUACUCCUUGGUUACAUUUACUACCCUCUUUAAAUAGAGGAAACAAUCGCUAGGAGGUAGUUUAUGCGGGGCACAGAUCCCAUAAAUAGUAACUGAACAGGCUUAUUGCGCAAGAGAGUUCAAAUUGAGUGCGCAGUUUGGCACCUCGAUGUCGGCUUAGCUUAUCCACAUGAAUGCAAGGAAUAUGAAUGGUUGGACUGUUCGUCCAUUAAAAAGCUACACGAGCUGGGUUAAAUACGUCGUGAGACAGUAUGGUUUCUAUCUUCUAGAGGAAAUUAAAGUAAAAUAAGAGGAGACCCCUUGUACGAAAGGAACGUAGGGUUAAGCCAACCUAUAGUAUACAUGCUGUU
RNAcentral lists this ribosomal RNA (1812 nucleotides) under Gomphillus americanus. RNAcentral's name for it is "large subunit ribosomal RNA". It matches the Rfam family "Bacterial large subunit ribosomal RNA", at positions 430 to 2725 of the family's 2925-position model. Lineage: Eukaryota; Fungi; Ascomycota; Lecanoromycetes; Ostropales; Graphidaceae. The record is from RNAcentral.